UUUCUAAGCUCCACUCUAAGACACUGCUCCUCAUUCUCAACUAUUUGCUUAUUUCUAAGCUCCACUCUAAGACACUGCUCCUCAUUUUCGACUAUUUCCGUCUUUCUAAGCUCCACUCUAAUACGCUGCUUCCCGAUUCUAUGAUUUAUUUCUAAGCUCCACUCUAAGACAUUGCUCCCCAUUCUCGACUAUUUGCUUUCUUUCUAAUCUCCACUCUAAGACGCUUGCUUCUCGAUUCUAAGCUUUCUUUCUAAUCUCCAUUCUAAGACACUGCUCCUCAUUCUCGAGUAUUUGCUUUCUUUAUAAGCUCCACUCUAAGGCACUGCUUCUCAUUCUCGACUUUUUUCUUUCUUUAUAAGCUUCACUCUAAUAGAAUAGCUUAAAAAGUUCAGAAAGUCAUUCCAAGAUGCUGACGAGAGUGUAAUAAAGCAUAGAAAUUUAAGCUAUUCGUCACUCUAAUCU
Molecule: long non-coding RNA, 462 nt
Filed under: Mytilus galloprovincialis (Mediterranean mussel)
Lineage: Eukaryota; Metazoa; Mollusca; Bivalvia; Mytilida; Mytilidae
Source: RNAcentral